UUGAGACAUUUUGAAAAAAACAUGUGCCCAUUUUUAACUGCCUCCUACACCAACUCAGAAGCUAGGAUAUGCAUAUUAUAACACAUUCGGAUAUGCAUAUUAUUAACACAUUCGGAUAGAAAACACUGAAUUUUCUAAAACAGUUUGAAUGGUGUCUGUAAGUAUAACAAAACUCAUAUUGCAGGCAAAAACCUGUGAAAAAUAGAUCCAAAAAAAUGUGAAUUUUGUGACUGUACUAUUUAGUGUCAUUGUUUUAUAGAUACCAUAGUGAGAAAGGAUUCAUUUCGCAACACCUACGGCUUCCACUAGAUGUCAACGAUCUUUAUAAAGUUGUUUGAAGCGUCUAUGAUAAACAGAGAGCAAAUUAGAAUCCAAGGAAGUUGACAUGUCAUCACUUCAUUUUUUUGCGCCUGCGCAUAAAUCUUGAGAAACGUGAGUUUGUCAUCAUUUUUUAUCUAGACAUAGGAUAGGUUGUGUGAAAAUAUUACUGAUGUUUAACGUUAAAAAUGGACCAAAAGAUUAAUGCUAAACAACAUUUGACAUGUUUGAACGAACAUAAAUAGAUUAUUUACUAGGUUUUUUUAGCUUUUCGGCGUGAUUUUACCAGCCCCCCACCACGUUUUGUGGGAGCAUAAUGAACGCUAAGUACUUGGUGUUAUUUGGACAUAAAUUAUGAACUUUGUCAAAAGAAACCACAUUUGUUCCGGACCUGGAAUGCCUUCCGGACCUGGGAUCCUGCCUUCUGAUGGAGAUAAUCAAAGGUAAGGGGGUAUUUACAAUGUUAUUAUCGAUUUUAGAUGAUGCUAACUGUAUAGCCUGUUGUUCUUAGCAUAGCACCCCGUUUAUUGCAAAAUGUGAUUUCCCAGUAAAGUUAUUUUGAGAUCUGGCCAUUCGGUAGCAAUUACGAGAUGAUAAUAUAUUAUUCUUUGAAUGACAAUAUUAUAAUUUACCAAUGUUUUCGAAUAGUAAUUUUGUUAUGUUCACCGGAAGCAUUUCAGAGAAGAAAAAAAUCUGAAUUUCACGCUACUGUAAAAUGCUGUUUUUGGAUAUAAAUAUGAACUUGAUGGAACAAAAAAUGCAUGUAUUGUAUAACAUAAUGUCCUAGGAGUGUCAUCUGAUGGAGAUUGACAAAAGUUAGUGCAUAAUUCUAGCUGGUUUCUGCUUUUGGUGACGCCUGACCUUGAAUUGAAAAUGGAUGUUUGUACUUUUGUGGCUAUGUACUGUCCUAACAUAAUCUAACUUUAUGCUUUUGCCGUAAAGCCUCUUUGAAAAUCGAACAAUGUAGUUAGAUUAAGGAGAUGUUUAUCAUUUAAAUUGUGUAAAAUAGUUGAUUGUUUGAGAAAUUGAAAUUAUUAGAUUUUUGAUGUUUUGAAUUUCCAGCCUUGUUAGCAAUCCCGGCUCGGGGUUCAUUGCUAACCUGUAGCCCCAACAGGUUAAUGCCAGUAGCAGGUCAUUGGUAAAAAUUGAAAAAAAGUAGAGGGCCUAGAGAGCUGCCCUGGGGUACACCACACUUUACAUGUUUACAUCAAAAGCCUCCAUUAAAUAAACCCUAUGAGUUCUAUUAGAUAGAUAGCUCUGAAAUCAAUGAUAUGGCAGAGGUUUAAAAGCCAUAACACAUAAGUUCACAACAACAGGUUAUGGUCAACAAUAUCAAAUGCUGCACUGUAAUAUAACAAUCGUCCACAAUCGUCUUAUACAUUUUUCAACCAAUCAUCUUUCUUUGUAUCAGUAUAGUAAAUGUUGAGUGCCGUUCUCUAUAAGCAUGCUGAAAGUCUUUUACAGUUUUUCCCAAUGAUUUACACACUAAAACUGGUCUAUGAGGCAAUGACCCAAACCUGUAACUCAUUUAGCAGAACCAUACACCAAAUCUGGUAAUACUACUGGUUCUUGUUUUGCUUUAAACUCAGAUUGCAAUUCUAUAACAAACACUUGGCAAAACACAACACAAUUCUCUACCUUUGGCACAACCUUCCCAACUAAAAUAUAUUGUGUGCAAAUGAAAAGCAAGUGUUCAACAAGCUAAGCUCAAUUACCAAUUACUCACAUUCACUCUUCACAUGUGCAAACACUAAUUGCAUAAAUGUUCACCUUGGAAUCAGAUAUUUGGUAUGGUUAAAAAGGCCACACUCUGUUUGGAGAACAAUGGAAGAAAACUUGGCAGAGAGAGGUAGAGGAAGACCAAGAACAAGGAGAGUGAUCUCUGAUGAAAUUUGGGCAACUGUGGUGGACCAAGUAGUCAACCAGGGCUUGACCUUGAGAGAGGCUGUGCAGAGUGUGCAGCCCAAUCUGAGCCGCUUUCACAGUAGCAUCCAUCAUGCUGGCGUUCCUAAACGAGAAUAGGUUUGUACUGCAGACAUUGGAUCUACUAGUUGACAUCAGCACUACAAAAAGCACAGUAAAGACUGUAGAUUCCAAUACAUACAUACUGUAAGGGGAAACAAAGUAAAUGUUUGAUGUGUUACUGUAUAUAUGAAAUUGGGAGCUAUACAUGUUUAUGGUGGACACUGUAGUGUUUACUCUACUGUACACUAUUUUGUUUUUUUAGAAUUGAAAGACAUCAACCACAUGGCGGUAGAACGCGUCUGUUUAAAGACGAACAGGAGGCUGCCAUUGUACAAAUGGUAAUUGAAAAUAAUUCCCUAAGACUGCAGGAAAUCCAUCAAGAUUAUUGAAAACCCUGCCAUCUUCCAUAACAUCGGAGUGAGUUGUUCAACCAUAGUCUGUAUCCUUAAGAAAAACAAUCUCCUGACGAAGCAAAUCUACAGUCCCAUUUGAAAGGAAUUCCCAAGAGUGAAGGAUAAACGGCAAAAAUGUGUAAAACCAUGGAGUUUGAUGCAAGUCCCAUCUCCCAGGAACGCAUUCAUAGAUGAGGCUGAAUUAAAUUUUGCGAAGACGAGGAGAGGAAGGAACAUCAUUGGUUAUCAUUGAGGUGGCGAAUCGCAUCUCUGCAUGUCUGGCAGAC
This 2962-nucleotide long non-coding RNA is filed under the name Salmo salar (Atlantic salmon). RNAcentral describes it as "lncRNA (ENSSSAG00000114279.1)". The record is from RNAcentral. Lineage: Eukaryota; Metazoa; Chordata; Actinopteri; Salmoniformes; Salmonidae.